RNAcentral lists this small RNA (42 nucleotides) under Arabidopsis thaliana (thale cress). RNAcentral describes it as "ATSL028370". The record is from RNAcentral. Lineage: Eukaryota; Viridiplantae; Streptophyta; Magnoliopsida; Brassicales; Brassicaceae.
AGGAGGAAGAAGAAGAAGAACAACAAUAACAAGAAAAAGAAG